GCAGGCCUAACACAUGCAAGUCGAACGGUAGCACAGAGAGCUUGCUCUCGGGUGACGAGUGGCGGACGGGUGAGUAAUGUCUGGGAAACUGCCCGAUGGAGGGGGAUAACUACUGGAAACGGUAGCUAAUACCGCAUAACGUCGCAAGACCAAAGUGGGGGACCUUCGGGCCUCACACCAUCGGAUGUGCCCAGAUGGGAUUAGCUAGUAGGUGGGGUAAUGGCUCACCUAGGCGACGAUCCCUAGCUGGUCUGAGAGGAUGACCAGCCACACUGGAACUGAGACACGGUCCAGACUCCUACGGGAGGCAGCAGUGGGGAAUAUUGCACAAUGGGCGCAAGCCUGAUGCAGCCAUGCCGCGUGUAUGAAGAAGGCCUUCGGGUUGUAAAGUACUUUCAGUGGGGAGGAAGGCGGUGAAGUUAAUAGCUUCNUCGAUUGACGUUACCCGCAGAAGAAGCACCGGCUAACUCCGUGCCAGCAGCCGCGGU
Molecule: ribosomal RNA, 488 nt
Filed under: uncultured bacterium
Lineage: Bacteria
Description: bacterial SSU rRNA
Rfam family: Bacterial small subunit ribosomal RNA
Source: RNAcentral